This 252-nucleotide ribosomal RNA is filed under the name uncultured bacterium. RNAcentral's name for it is "partial 16S ribosomal RNA". It matches the Rfam family "Bacterial small subunit ribosomal RNA", at positions 524 to 776 of the family's 1533-position model. The record is from RNAcentral.
UACGGAGGAUGCGAGCGUUAUCCGGAUUUAUUGGGUUUAAAGGGUGCGUAGGCGGAUCGUUAAGUCAGUGGUCAAAUUGAGGGGCUCAACCCCUUCCCGCCAUUGAAACUGGCGAUCUUGAGUGGAAGAGAAGUAUGCGGAAUGCGUGGUGUAGCGGUGAAAUGCAUAGAUAUCACGCAGAACUCCGAUUGUGAAGGCAGCAUACCGGCGCCCUACUGACGCUGAGGCACGAAAGCGUGGGUAUCGAACAGG